UUUAAGUGUCAACAAUAUUAAGUAAAGUGAAAUUACUUUCUUGUUUUUUUAAGUCCAAAAUUUUACUAACCCUUAGAAUGCUUCACGCGAACCCCUGCAACCGAAACCCUCGCGAUCCCCAUGCCAUACUUUACCUUGUCGUCGAAAUCAUUGUGAUGUCUAUGUCGAACUUCACCCUACCGCUGAUUGGCUCAAGACCUCCACCACACGGUCGAUUCCCUUCAUCUGAUUAAGAUUUGUUUCUAACCUAUCUAUCUUCCUUCCCCAAUUUCACCGUUUUUCAUUUUAGUGCUUUAUUCUUCCUUUUCCCUUUCCUUCUUCUUCUUCCCUUUCUUCUUUUCCUCAUUUCCCUCCAAUUUUAGAGUUCUGAUUUCUGAUUCCUUGCAGUGAAGCUUCUUCUUCUUCCAUUUUCCAUUUUAUUCCUUUUUGAAUUGAAGCCCCAUGACUUCCUUUACUUCCGUCAAGAAGAACUUCUUGCCUCUGCGCCUUAUUUCCAAUAUUGAAGAUGUUCUUCCCAGGAGGAAGGGCACUGGCGAAGAAUCCAAAGAUGUUAGAUCCCUACUUGAAAACUUAAGGGAAGUCUGCUGAGAGUUCUAGUAAGGGUCAAAAUUCCACCUAGAAGCCAUCAACUGUGGACAAAAACAAAGAAGCCAAUGUAGGUUUCUAAAGAGAAGGUGGUUGAGAGAAGCCCACAUCCAGUUGGAAUACCGAGUAGUCUCGGGACGAUGGCAAUAGUGAAGGAGGAGGAGCUUCGGGUGAAUCCAGUUCUGCCAAUGAUUGGAUGUCUUCAUUUGGUUGGGAUCGUUGAUUGAAUGGUAAUAUCUCAAACGUUUCGUAGACAAUGCAAAGGGAGUUUGGCUAUUAACAAGAUUGUUUCUUGUUAGAACAUUUAUGAAUUAUUGUACUUCUUUGUUAAUUUCUUUAUAACAUGUUGAAUAUUUUGGGUGAUGCCAAAAAAAAAUUCUCUAAAAGCCUACACUUAUCUUCGUUUUAAAUUAUCUUUCAGCCUUUUUUUGCCUCCUUCCAUUGUGCUGCUAUGAGAGAAACCACUAUGCUUUUGAGAUCCACUAUAAGAAAUUUGGGCUUUAAUGUCGGUUGGAAAAAGUAAAACCAAAUGUAUAAUGUCGAUUUUUUAAAAAAAUAAAAAACGAAUCUUUAAUGUCGGUUUUAAACGACAUUAAAGGUCUAAAUUUAUUUUUUUCUUACUUUAUUAAAAAAUAUAUCUUUCAUUUUAACCAAACCUUCUCUCUCCUUUCACCCUCUCUUAUCAAACCCUCUCUUCUCCUUGGCCGUUCGAAUCCCCAAAGUUUUCGUUGUUCCGAUCGUUAUCGUCACCAGCGUUGUUAGGGUCUCUGUCGUCGUCGGUGGUUGGUCUCUGUCAUCCUAUCGUUGUUGUGGGCGUUGUUCGAUUGUUUCCAUGGGCAUUGUCGUGGGUCUCUGUCGUCUUCAACAACGUUGUCCAGUCGUUGUCAUGGUCUCUAUCACGGACAUUGGUUGGAUUUGUAGAUUUGGGUCACCGGUGUUGGUGGGUCGUCAUCGGCGUAGUGGAGUUUCGCCGUUCGUAGAUUCCGUCAGUGGUGGAGUUCUUUCUUCUCCUUGGAUCUGUAGAUUCCCUUUGAAAAUAAGGUCUCACCAUUUCCGGAACUUUUAGAUUCUGCCUUGAAUUCCAGCUAUUUACAUCUGAUGGUUGCACUUACUGCAUCAGUGGAGAUAUUAUCCCUUCCAUACUUAAGUGCCAUUUUUACAUCUUUAUAAGUAUUUGGUAAUUAAUUAAGAAGAAUGGUUGCUUCACUUUCUUUGCCUAGUUUCUCCUCUGUUUGAUUUAUUUCUGAUGUUAGUCUUCUACAGUCAUUUAGGUUCUCAUCCAUUGUUUUACAGUAUUCAUCUUGAAUGAGAACAACCUUUCCUUCAAGAAAAUUUUAUUUGACACAUCCUUUUUCUCAUAUAAAGCUUCUAAUUUAUUCAAAACUUCAUAUGUUCUGUAUUCAUCAAUUACUUGCCUUAGUAUGUUGUCAGUUACAUUCAAUAACAGAGUUUUUCUAUAGGCUACUUCUUCAAUAUUCCGUUUCUCUACUUGAGUUAGGGUUGUAGGCAAUGUCUUAGGAUCUUCUAAUCCUUUUAAGGUCUUUUGAUAUGUCAAUAUCAUCUUAAUCUUCUUUGACCACAAAUUAAAAUCAUUAUUUUCAGUGAACUUUUCAAUUGCGUACUUCUCUACUGCCAUUGAUAAGUUCUUUUCCAAGUUUUGAUACCAAAUUGUAAAGAGAAAACGACUACACAUGUCUCACUGUAAAAGGUAAUACAACAAUUGAAUAUGAUUAUCUUUCUUCUUUACUCUUCUGAUCAACAUGCAAAUUCUCUCUAAAAUUCUCUGAUCUUUAUAUUCACUCACAACAAAUCAAUGGAGACAAAAUUUGAGUAAAGAACUAGAUGAAGAUUAAGGAAAGUAGAAGAGAAACACUUGAUUUAUAGUGGUUCGGCUUAUUUAUUUCUACAUUCACUCCAGAGAACAACCAUUGACAUCUUUAUUCAAGAUCAAAAUCAAGAAGCAGACAUUACAAAGCACAAUCAGGUUUGAUUCUUCACAAAGACUUCUUCUCCAUCUUAUAGCCCUAAUUACAAAGCUCAAAUCUUUUGCAUUGAUUUAAACAGUCAAUAGGUUCAUUACAGAAGAAGUACUCAAUAGGUUCCUUUGAAUUACUAAGCAAAACAGUUCCCAUACAAAUCUCUACUGAAAUACAACUACACUUUUGGUGCAUUCUGUUUCAUAUUACUGUCAUGCUCCCUAGCUGUGUUCUGCAACAUCAGUCAAUAUCUGUGUAUCGGUCGUAUCAUUCCAGGUUUUAGGCCAUAUGAAGACGGUAUGCGUGCUGAUGUUGGGGUGCCUGCUCUUUGAUUCAGAGAUGACAUUGAAGAACAUAUCAGGGAUGGUUCUUGUUGGGAUGGUGGUGUAUAGUUGGGUAGUUGAAAUUGAGAAAAAAGCAUCAUUCUAAUAUUCGAUUUAAAUUAUUUGAUCAUUCGAUAAGCAUCACUACAAGAAUUUUGCCUUGAAUGUACCAUUUAUGCACAUUCCCAAUAAACACGGUUAGUUGAAUAUGAAUUCUGAUAACAUUUUCACUUUCAAUCCUUUGUCUUAAACCUUUUUUGUUUGUGUUUUUUAGGUGUUUGGAAUGGGUGGGAAGGAGAUGGAUUUCUUGCAACAGUAAGGGAUUCAGGUGAAAAUUUUUCCUGGGUGAGCAUGUGCGUGCUUUAGGAGGUGCUAUAGCAUCAGCUUAUCUUCUUGGAGUUCCUCUAGGACAUAAUUCAUCAUUUCUUCAAGGUCCAACAUUUGCACCUCCUCGGAUCAGGGAGGCCAUCUGGUAUAGGAGCACAAAUCCAACUACAAAAGAAGAUGCAACAAAGGAGUAAAUAUUUGGUAUCGCAACCUUUUUAUGCUUUUUCUUAGGGAACUUUAGAUCCAACACAUUCAUUACAAGAAUUUUCCCUUAAAUGUACCAUUUAUGCACAUUCCCAAUAAACACGGUUAGCUGAAUAUGAAUUCUUAUCACAUUUUCACUUUCAAUCUUUUGUUUUAAACCUUUUUUGUUUGUGAUCCUUUGAACAACAGUAGUCAGACAAAAAUGCCUAUAACCAAACACUGCUAAAGCUAGGGGGUUGGUUCAAGAAGAAUUAUGAAGGGAUCCAUACUUACCAAGUGGAGAGAGACAAUAAUCUCAUAAUGUUUGUAAAAUCAUAAUGUUUGUAUUACUUGUAAUUUGUGUUUUCAAGGCCUGAAUUAUUG
Benincasa hispida (wax gourd) is the source of this 3778-nucleotide non-coding RNA. The record is from RefSeq and is a predicted model, not a curated record. Lineage: Eukaryota; Viridiplantae; Streptophyta; Magnoliopsida; Cucurbitales; Cucurbitaceae.